UGAAUUUGAUUCCAUAGGCAUUGCAGACCUUUUAUUAGAAGAGAAAUUUGGUUACUGUGUUAGGAAGAUAAUUACUGCUGCUGUUAUGUUUAGGAUGAAUUGUAGCAGGUAUAGCAGAGAUCAUGACAGGAUUGGGAGGACAGGUUUUAAUUGCUGAAGUGUGACACUGAAGGCUUGGGCAAGGGAAUAGGAACGCAGCAAGAGCUCUAACUUUCAUUGAGUGGCAUAGUUUUCAUAUGUUUUUACCUAUCAUUUAGCACUUGAAACAUAACAUUCUCCAUUCCUGUGUAUUAUAAGCCAAGGAAAUAUAGUCGAAAGUUUGAUACACCUUGUUGGAUUGAUAACCAUCCAAAAUAUAGCUUUAUUGAACAUGGACUCAAUACACUGCUGUUAAAAGAACCAAAAAUAAAAACACAUUUGUGAUUCAGGUGUAUUUGUUUAUUUUGGUAGAAAAAAAAUUAUCUUCCCACUGAAACAAAAGUACCAUUAUACAGAGCAAAAUCAACAUCACGCUACUUUUCCAUGUUUCAUAUGACAGUAGGGAGGGCACAUUCAGAGAAUGUUGAUCAGAUUUUGUCUCCUUCCUUUAAAAAGGCAUGUUGCAGAUUGUAAUACUUCUCCAUGCUCUAAAGCAUCAUUUGAUUGGGGAAGAAGAGUUCAGUGUCAAGCAUGAGGGGCUGGGUCUAGAGGUUUCUAAAGUGUCACUUACAAAAUCAUUUCACAACAUAUUUGUUAGCACAUCUUUCUUCCAGUUCUGGCUUUGUUUCCUUCUAUUUUCAAUGUAAAUGGUACAAAGUGAGCUAUCUUCCUGCUGCUCAAAAUAACUAUGUAUUUGAGUAAAAUUUAUAAUGGUGGAUUCUACUUUUAGCCAGGAAAUGCAAACAAAGCUUGGAGACUGCUUGUUCUUUGACCCCAAAUUCAUUCCAUGUUGCUAUAGCAUCACUCCUGAGAAAAUGGGUCUGCCUGUUUUCCUCCCCAUAGACACACUCAAUGGGCUUUUGUCAGCUCCUGAAUUAUAGCAUUAAAAUUUAAACACUAGGGAUUUAAUGGAGGAUUAUUAUGACACUCCAGUGCAUUCUUUCUGUUGCCACUAGCAACAACCUCAAGGAAAAGUAAAAUAAGUAAGAGGUGCUGUUUUCCAGAAAGAUGAAGGGUCAACCUUACACUCUUGGGAUUUCAUAAACUGAUUUGUAGCCAUUGUUAUUAACAUGAGUAUUGUACUGGUAUAUAAUAUCAAUCCAGUGAUUUGUUUUUUCCUUUAGUUUAGCAAAUCUACACAGGAAAAGAUAUUUUCAUACACCCUCCCCAAAUGAACUUCCAUCUGCUGCUCCCAGAUGCACUCUCCAACAUCUGGAAGAUAUUACCCCAUGACAGUGGCACAGCAUUCUCCAUCUUAAACCCUUCAAAGUGAGACUGCAGUGGAAGAAUCUGCACCCACAUCUUCAGAGAGGUUUCUUCUCAGAUGAGCCAAUUACCAUGGCCAAAGACAGAGGGAAGUCUUGUCUCCAUCUACUGCUUCACAGUUUACAAAUGCUUUUCUAUGGUUUAUCAUAGAAAAAGGUGUCUGACAUAUCCUGCAGCCUAUUAAUAUCACAGUAAGAUUGGCUGGCCUAUUAACUCAUGCCAUGAGAAGUCCAGAGUCCUCCUGUUAUGGUUGAUACAUUGUGUCAACAUGAGGAGUUAAUUAAGUAACUCAAGCAGUUCUACAUCCGGGGAGUGAAAAGGACAGGACCUUCCUGCUCUAGGAUGUUGUUCAUUGUGUCAACUUGAGAAGUUUAGAGGGUUACUUAUGUGACUCAACAGGGCCCCAAGGUCCUUACUGAGCCUGUGCAAAGUAGGGCAUGGAGAUGGUGUGGGUGUAAAGGACCACCCCCUCAGGGCAGAUAGGCUGCAUACAAUAAAAGGGAAAUGAGGAAGGACUGAUUGCUGGUUCUUCGGAGGCCUCCAGUCUGCGCCUUCAGCUUGAUGGUCGUCUCCCGGCUUCUGGUACAGACUGUUCGGCUUCUGCCUGGGACUCGUCAGCCUUCUGGUGUAGACUCUGGCCUUUGUUGUAGAUUCUUCAGCAACUCGU
Long non-coding RNA from Chinchilla lanigera (long-tailed chinchilla), 2071 nucleotides. RefSeq lists it as uncharacterized. The transcript has 3 exons. NCBI's taxonomy places the organism in Eukaryota, Metazoa, Chordata, Mammalia, Rodentia, Chinchillidae. The record is from RefSeq and is a predicted model, not a curated record.